ACUGUCAAAAGAGUAAAUAUGCAGUUAAAGCAAAGCAAAAAUUAUGUUAUGUGUAUGCAAAGGAUGUGUUGACUGAAAGCCAAUGCCAAUAUUGGUUUGUAAAAUUUCGUUCCAACAAUUUCGAUCUUGAAGAUAUACCACGUCCUUGAAAGACUCCUGAAUAAACAAAAACGAAUAACAACUCGAGAGAUUGCUGAAAGAUUAAAUAUGUCAAACGCCACCAUUCACAAGCACAUACAAUUUAUAGGAUUAAUUUGGAAGCUUAUUAGUGGGGUUCCUCGUUUUUUACAGAACGAAGUUUGCUUCAUCGCAUUAACGACUUGUGAUUUGCUUAUCAAGCGUCAAAGAAGUGAUCCAUGAUUCGUUGGAACAAUACGGUCUAUAGAUGUGAAACAUAUAUGUAUAAUUUAAUUCGUUAUUGAUCUUGUUGACAUUAUCGAAGAUCAUUUUCAGUAUGCUGAUGUAAGUUGCGGGAGUGAUUACACAAUAUUUGGUGGACGACAAAAUCAAAUUUUCUUCAUUAUUUUGUGUAUGAACUCAAUUGUUUGUAAUGCGAUAUAUUGGAGUAUCCUCUUACCGGAAAUGGGGUUACAAUAUCCGGCGUUGAAAUUUAAAUUAAAAAUACAUCUACGCUCCUAGCUCUUCAUUGUGUACACCCCGACGAAAGUAUGCUCAGUUUAAAUCUAACACAUUCGCUGACCAGAAACUAUUACCAUGCCGCACUCUUAGCUAUUUCAUUUAAAAUAGCUGCGUAUCAACCUGCACUAUAGCUUCGUGUCUCAUAACUUCGAAUCCCCUACUCGAACAGUUUUGGAAAAAGGUGUAAGAAAAAUAAAGUUCGUAAGCGGUUCCGCAAGCGCACAUUUAAUAAAGCUUAAAUGAAAUUUCUCCAUCCCCAUUCCACCUCGCCGUGCCCCAACAUUGUAUCGCAAAAACAACAUCAGCAAUAAUAGCAUAGCACACUACGAUCAGCCACAACGUAACGCCACCAAUGACCAAAAGUGUGCAACGUAAAAAGAAAAAAAACAUGUAAUGCUCAUAAAAGUAAAAUUGGUUUCGAAAACAGUGGAAAAGGCCUCACAACACAUGCACCAAUAUUACCGAUCAGUAAUAUCAGAGAGUAUCGGCAAAAAUCCGAAACAUGAAUAUAUUGGUCAACAAACAACAGAGACUACCACCUGUAUGUAUGCAUAUUCAUAAGUACAUGUGGAAAUGUAAAGUGGAAAUAGUUGGAUGUCUCAUGGGAUCUGGUGCGUUGGAUGGUCCGGCAUUUGAAGGCGCAGUACCGUAAAACCAGUGACUGGCUCGCGUCAACGGGCGCAGGACUUCAAGAUGAAUCUGACGCAAGAACCGUAGAAGCUGAGGAAAAAAUUUAGAAAGCGGUUACCGGCCACGCAACCGUUACUGAACAGUUGGCGGCUAUCCAAGCUGAAAAAAUUGCUAUGGAAGCGAAAAAGUUGGAAUUUGAGAAAUAUAAAUUCGAAAAAAAUUAGGUACAAAGUUAAAAAAAUUAGAUAUAGAAUUAAAAAAAAUGGAAACUGAUGAUAAAUAGAAGUUAUUAGAAUUACAAAUGAAAGAAAGAAUGGCUAUGUAUGAAAUUGAAAAAAAUAUGAAAAUAAAAAUAAUUAAAUAUACUAAAUUAUA
This is a long non-coding RNA of Bactrocera tryoni, 1644 nucleotides long. RefSeq lists it as uncharacterized. The transcript is spliced from 5 exons. NCBI's taxonomy places the organism in Eukaryota, Metazoa, Arthropoda, Insecta, Diptera, Tephritidae. The record is from RefSeq and is a predicted model, not a curated record.